Molecule: transfer RNA, 50 nt
Filed under: Griffinia hyacinthina
Lineage: Eukaryota; Viridiplantae; Streptophyta; Magnoliopsida; Asparagales; Amaryllidaceae
Description: tRNA-Leu
Source: RNAcentral
AAAAUCCGUCGACUUUAGAAAUUCGGGAGGGUUCAAGUCCCUCUAUCCCC